Molecule: ribosomal RNA, 122 nt
Filed under: Glycine soja
Lineage: Eukaryota; Viridiplantae; Streptophyta; Magnoliopsida; Fabales; Fabaceae
Source: RNAcentral
AGGUGCGAUCAUACCAGCACUAAUGCACCGGAUCCCAUCAGAACUCCGCAGUUAAGCGUGCUUGGGCGAGAGUAGUACUAGGAUGGGUGACCUCCUGGGAAGUCCUCGUGUUGCACCUCUUU